This 440-nucleotide ribosomal RNA is filed under the name uncultured bacterium. RNAcentral describes it as "partial 16S ribosomal RNA". It matches the Rfam family "Bacterial small subunit ribosomal RNA", at positions 338 to 795 of the family's 1533-position model. The record is from RNAcentral.
CCUACGGGGUGCAGCAGUGGGGGAUAUUGCACAAUGGGGGAAACCCUGAUGCAGCGACGCCGCGUGGGUGAAGGAGUAUCUCGGUACGUAAAGCUCUAUCAGCAGGGAAGAAAAUGACGGUACCUGACUAAGAAGCCCCGGCUAACUACGUGCCAGCAGCCGCGGUAAUACGUAGGGGGCAAGCGUUAUCCGGAUUUACUGGGUGUAAAGGGGGCGUAGACGGCAGGACAAGCCUGGAGUGAAAGCCCGGGGCGCAACCCCGGAACUGCUGUGGAAACUGCGCGGCUGGAGUGCAGGAGGGGUAGGCGGAAUUCCUAGUGUAGCGGUGAAAUGCGUAGAUAUUAGGAGGAACACCGGUGGCGAAGGCGGCUUACUGGACUGUAACUGACGUUGAGGCUCGAAGGCGUGGGGAGCAAACAGGAUUAGAUACCCUUGUAGUC